RNAcentral lists this ribosomal RNA (402 nucleotides) under uncultured bacterium. RNAcentral describes it as "bacterial SSU rRNA". It matches the Rfam family "Bacterial small subunit ribosomal RNA", at positions 355 to 774 of the family's 1533-position model. The record is from RNAcentral.
UGGGGAAUAUUGGACAAUGGGCGCAAGCCUGAUCCGGCCAUGCCGCGUGAGUGAUGAAGGCCUUAGGGUUGUAAAGCUCUUUUAGCGGGGAAGAUAAUGACGGUACCCGCAGAAAAAGCCCCGGCUAACUUCGUGCCAGCAGCCGCGGUAAUACGAAGGGGGCUAGCGUUGCUCGGAAUUACUGGGCGUAAAGCGCACGUAGGCGGACUCUUAAGUCGGUGGUGAAAUCCUGGAGCUCAACUCCAGAACUGCCUUCGAUACUGGGAGUCUUGAGUUCGGGAGAGGUGAGUGGAACUGCGAGUGUAGAGGUGAAAUUCGUAGAUAUUCGCAAGAACACCAGUGGCGAAGGCGGCUCACCGGCCCGAUACUGACGCUGAGGUGCGAAAGCGUGGGGAGCAAACA